Non-coding RNA from Pelobates cultripes (western spadefoot toad), 220 nucleotides. The record is from the annotation of a GenBank genome assembly. NCBI's taxonomy places the organism in Eukaryota, Metazoa, Chordata, Amphibia, Anura, Pelobatidae.
CGGCAGGAGCUGCGCGCGCAUUCAGCCAGUCUCAUAGGAAAGCAUUUACAAUGCUUUCCUAUGGACUCUGGCGUCUUCUCACUGUGAUUUUCACAGUGAGAAGCACGCAAACGCCUCUAGCGGCUGUCAAUGAGACAGCCACUAUAGGCUUUAGAGGCUGGAUUAACCCUAAUAUAAACAUAGCAGUUUCUCUGAAACUGCUAUGUUUAUAGAAGAAAGG